ACAGAGGGGGCAAGCGUUGUUCGGAAUUACUGGGCGUAAAGGGCGCGUAGGCGGCCUGCUAAGUCGAACGUGAAAUCCCUGGGCUCAACCCAGGAACUGCGUUCGAUACUGGUUGGCUUGAAUUCGGGAGAGGGCUGCGGAAUUCCAGGUGUAGCGGUGAAAUGCGUAGAUAUCUGGAAGAACACCGGUGGCGAAGGCGGUCAACUGGCCCUAAACUGACGCUCAGGCACGAAAGCGUGGGGAUCAAACAGGA
Molecule: ribosomal RNA, 253 nt
Filed under: uncultured prokaryote
Description: partial 16S ribosomal RNA
Rfam family: Bacterial small subunit ribosomal RNA
Source: RNAcentral